Molecule: long non-coding RNA, 1383 nt
Organism: Nycticebus coucang (slow loris)
Lineage: Eukaryota; Metazoa; Chordata; Mammalia; Primates; Lorisidae
Exons: 3
Source: RefSeq, a predicted model, not a curated record
CAUGCAUGGUGGGCUGGCUGUGCGGCACCAGCGGCUCGCACGCAGCUGUGUGUAAGACAAGGAGAGGUUACGUACAACAGGCAGCUAAUGGCUCAUACCAGCAAGCCCUCAACUUCAGUCGGCACAUGCGGUUGAAUUUUAAAAAGAAGUCACCAAGGUUCCAGUCCUAACCAGCUGCCCAUAUUUAGGAUUCUACUUUUCAGGAAGAAUGGCAAAACACCAGACCCCCAGACGGAGUGAAUGACUCCUGCCAGAGUCGAGCAGAACUGCCUCUUACUUGCCAGGGACUAUGACACAAGGAAGCUGGAAUGAACAACUCCAAUAUUGUUCUAUUACCCCAAAGUGGUCGGCAUUGCCCCGCAUCCCAGGGUGAUGAAGGUCCUCCUUUCUCUAUCUGCACACUAUGAAGUUCAAGUACCAGCUGCACACCGAGAGAAAACAGGAAACAGACUUCUCUUUGGACACAGAAUUGAACAAAGAGCUCACCCCAGUCGAAGCCAGUUUAAACCAGUCUGUGCUGCUCUGAAACCUUCCCAACCUCCCUCCAGAGCUGGCACAGAGACGAGGAGAUCAUCACUGACUUCAAUCUUUGGCCUUCUAACCAGGAAAGGACUUGUGAAGGUGAAUGGUUUGCAGACGAAGGGGAUAUAAAAGAGACAAAACCAGGAUAAAAAUUAAAUAAAAAGUAGCUGUCUUAAACUGUAAUUGCAGUCCUCUGCUGAGCACGCUUGCAGAUAUAUAAAUGUGAUUUACCAUCAGCUUGCAACUACAAAUCAGGUCUUGAGAAACACUUGUGCUAUGAAAUUGUUUAAUCUCAUCAAGCUCUGCUUUCACAGCAAGCCAUAAAUCACAAAGUCUUUGUUAUCAUAGACCUCCACCAGCGCCUCUCUGGCAGGCUAUGGAUCGUGGGUAUAUAUAAUCUUGACUGCACAAACACUGGGGUCGACGCAGGCUGAAAUACUUUCAUAAUAGCCACUGUGCAGCUGGUGGAACACAAGCCUAUGAUGGAUAUCUCAUUUCCUACAGUCGGCAUCUAUUUCGAGCAAAUUAUUACCACAUAAAUUUCUUGUCAACAGAAACGGCCAAUUAAUUAAGUUAAAAAUUUACUUGUGAUCACAUCUACAAACCAAAUAGAACUGCAAGGCAAUUUUCCAGUUACUGAAUAUACUGCAGGUCAGUUUAAUGAAUAAUUUUUAACUUUGUCAUAAACUCAAAGACAGGCUAAUAUCUCCAGAAACCUGAAUGGAGACCAGCUGCCGACAGAUUUACACGAAAUAUAUUUAUGUGGAAUUUGAUUGCUGACAUCUGGGGACAGAAAUAAACUUUCUAUAAUUACAGAGGCAUCUUUGCCAUAUAUAUGAAUUUCUUUCACCAAAAAAUGCA